ACUCGAUAACAAUCGCAAAGAGCAGUUAACAGGUCAAUCAACAAUGCAUUACAAUGCCUGACUGGCGACUUGUCCUUCUGUAAAUGACGUUACUCACUGGAGAUUGCUGCACAAAAGCAUUUUUGUUGUUAAGCGCGUUGCAAUGGGUCGAAGUGAUGGGUCCAGCGACACCGAUGCGUUGAUGCAUGCGCCGGGCUAACAGAGAAAACCAGGUGUCGGUGCAUGUGCUGCUUCAUUACGCCACGUGAUUGACACGUGAAUUGCACCGGCGCAGUUUAGACUGCAUCGGCUGCGUUGACACAGUCCAGGCUGCUAAUUGACACUCCCGGCUGCGCCACUUAGUCCAGGGGGCGUCGACUAAGUGCAGAGGGCGUUGACGCUGCAAAAGCCUGCCGCACAGUGUUUAUAAGGAAGUGCGUCUGGCGACACUAUGCCACCUGCCGAAACAAGCCAGACCUCACUCACGCUCGCUUGUCGAAGUUCGUGGUACAGACUUCGUGUCACUGCAGACUUCGUGUCCGUGCCUUACUUGCCAAUUAUGGAGCAGAGACGCAAAUCAUACACCGUGUGGGACUAUUUUGAUGUCCUGCAGAAUAAGGUAUUAUUUAUUUAUUUAUUCAAAUCGCCUUCUGUCGCCGAGUGCCUCUCAGCGAGUGCCUCUCAGAUUAUUGACAUGUGUUGUACCAUUCUAAUUCAAAUUCAUUUCAAGGCAACUCUUGGUUACUUCUUAUUCACAUUUCAUUGCAGGUGAAAUGUCAAAUUUGCCGGGUCGAAUUGUCAUACACCAAUAGAAGCACCUCCACCAUGCUGAGGCAUUAUCUGGCCAAGCAUGAGAAUGAAGUUCGCGAUACACCCAGGAUUACGCCAGCUUCCAGGAAGCAGCUGCUCGAUCAGGCACUGCUGAACUUCAUUAUGAAGGACUGCCAGCCCCUCAGCAUUGUGGAGAGUUGAGGGUUCAAGGACCUGAUUCAGG
Hippocampus zosterae (dwarf seahorse) is the source of this 973-nucleotide long non-coding RNA. RefSeq lists it as uncharacterized. The transcript has 3 exons. The record is from RefSeq and is a predicted model, not a curated record. Lineage: Eukaryota; Metazoa; Chordata; Actinopteri; Syngnathiformes; Syngnathidae.